RNAcentral lists this ribosomal RNA (398 nucleotides) under Pseudoalteromonas rubra. RNAcentral's name for it is "bacterial SSU rRNA". It matches the Rfam family "Bacterial small subunit ribosomal RNA", at positions 395 to 785 of the family's 1533-position model. The record is from RNAcentral. Lineage: Bacteria; Pseudomonadati; Pseudomonadota; Gammaproteobacteria; Alteromonadales; Pseudoalteromonadaceae.
UGCCGCGUGUGUGAAGAAGGCCUUCGGGUUGUAAAGCACUUUCAGUCAGGAGGAAAGGUUAGUAGUUAAUACCUGCUAGCUGUGACGUUACUGACAGAAGAAGCACCGGCUAACUCCGUGCCAGCAGCCGCGGUAAUACGGAGGGUGCGAGCGUUAAUCGGAAUUACUGGGCGUAAAGCGUACGCAGGCGGUUGAUUAAGCGAGAUGUGAAAGCCCCGGGCUUAACCUGGGAACUGCAUUUCGAACUGGUCAACUAGAGUGUGAUAGAGGGUGGUAGAAUUUCAGGUGUAGCGGUGAAAUGCGUAGAGAUCUGAAGGAAUACCGAUGGCGAAGGCAGCCACCUGGGUCAACACUGACGCUCAUGUACGAAAGCGUGGGGAGCAAACAGGAUUAGAUAC